This 1662-nucleotide long non-coding RNA is filed under the name Lathyrus oleraceus (garden pea). RNAcentral describes it as "Pisum sativum (pea) long non-coding RNA (PSAT_LNC033201)". The record is from RNAcentral. Lineage: Eukaryota; Viridiplantae; Streptophyta; Magnoliopsida; Fabales; Fabaceae.
AACAAUCCAAAACAGGAUGCAAAUAAGGUUCUGGCGCACCUGGGCCCAAAAGGAUGGCCCAUACCAAUUCUACAUGCAAGCAGAGGUACACUAGAAAAAACAAUAUAAUGUUAGUAGAUUUUGGCCUAAGCCCAACACACCAAGGCCACACGGAAUUUCAUCAUAUGCAUUGGAAAUGGAUAAGGCUGAACAUUGACACGACAAUGAGUUAGCGCUGAGGUGGAUAAGUAACUCAAAUCACUUAAUACCAAUUAACGCACGUGCAACAUGUUGAAAAGAGAAACUCAGAACAAAUAACACAAAUGCGGAUCUCUCUUCUAUCUCAUUUCAUUUUCUGCUUCUAUUUCUCCCUCCGCCAUUCCGGAGGCUAUCCUCGUCGGCAUAAGCACUCCAAUUAACAAACUAAAGACAACAUCUAACCUAUUUUGACGCCCUAUAUCCGAAUCUACCACUAAAAUUCCCUAAUUCCUCGAUAACUUCUCAAAUCAAAACAAAAUCUUGAUGAACCUUAACAUGAAAAAAUGGAAUUAAAUCGCAUCGGAGGGAAAUCGAUCCACCCCACAUUGGGGCUUUGAUUCCCCUCGUGAAGAACUACAUUCCUGUAACUAAAUUUUGAAAAAACAAAGAAGGUGAUUGAAGGCUCACUAGAGCACACAUCGGCGUCAGGUACGACUUUCUUGAACUCUUUCUUUGCAUUUCAAAUCGUCUUCUUCUUCUCCUGUUGAUUGUGUUGUUAUUCUUGUGUGUGCAUUGUGAGUUAUGAAUCAGCGUGUGUGGUUGUUGAUUUGCGAGAGAAGUGAGAGGUGAUGAAUUCUUGUGAGAGUUUCGAAACUGAGAGUUGAAGAUGAAUUCGAAGGUGAUGCAAAAAUCUGGAAAAUAAGUUGAAGGAGAAUUCAAAGGUGAUGCCAAAAAUAUGGAAAAUGAGUUCCCAAUUGAAAAAUGGUGAUUGUUCUAUUUAUAUAGUUUCUGAUUUCUAUUAUGUUCUUCUCAAAUUAUGUUAUAGUUUUUAUUCAUUUUGUUAGAAGCUUGCGAAGUUUGUUACAAGCCGGUUAGGUUAGUUUGUUGAAAGGUGAAAGUUAGUUACAAAGAGUUAGUUAGGAUAAGUUAGUUGGAAGAAGGUUUAGGUUGUGUGAAGUUAAAUAGGUUCUAAGUUUCUUGAUUGUAGUCAGAAGUGAAAUGAAAAUUUUGCGAAUGUUUUCUGUUUAGACUUUUGAACUGAGUUUUUGUGGUGAUGCAGGGUUGUGGUUUCAAUGGCUAAGGCAAGGUUGACUUGAGAUGUUAUCAUGGUUCUUAGUUAUGAUGGAUCAUGUCAUAGUUUUUCUUUGGUCAUGAAAUUGGAUAUGGAUUUAUGAGCUUUGGAUCAUUAGACUAGUUUUGAUCAUGUUGGAUACUGUUGUAAUGGUUUAUAUUGUGAAUUUGAAAUUAUGUAUGGUUAUGUAAAAGGUAUUUGGAAAUUGAAUAAAUGGAAUUUUGUAUAUGUAUGGAAUUAUUAUUGUAUGAGAUAUGAAUAUUAAUGGUUAAAUAUAAUUUGUGUUAUAAUGUGAUGGAUUAUUGGAUUAAUGGUGGAAAUGUGUAUUAGUGUAUGAUGGUAUAAGGAAAAUCAAUGGUAUUUGACUUUAAAAUGAUAAUUGGAUCUUUUGAAAUGAAAAAAAAAGGCUAAAA